This 449-nucleotide ribosomal RNA is filed under the name Bacillus sp. (in: firmicutes). Its description in RNAcentral is "bacterial SSU rRNA". It matches the Rfam family "Bacterial small subunit ribosomal RNA", at positions 76 to 510 of the family's 1533-position model. The record is from RNAcentral. Lineage: Bacteria; Bacillati; Bacillota; Bacilli; Caryophanales; Bacillaceae.
GAGCUUGCUCCCGGAUGUUAGCGGCGGACGGGUGAGUAACACGUGGGUAACCUGCCUGUAAGACUGGGAUAACUCCGGGAAACCGGAGCUAAUACCGGAUAGUUCCUUGAACCGCAUGGUUCAAGGAUGAAAGACGGUUUCGGCUGUCACUUACAGAUGGACCCGCGGCGCAUUAGCUAGUUGGUGAGGUAACGGCUCACCAAGGCGACGAUGCGUAGCCGACCUGAGAGGGUGAUCGGCCACACUGGGACUGAGACACGGCCCAGACUCCUACGGGAGGCAGCAGUAGGGAAUCUUCCGCAAUGGACGAAAGUCUGACGGAGCAACGCCGCGUGAGUGAUGAAGGUUUUCGGAUCGUAAAGCUCUGUUGUUAGGGAAGAACAAGUGCAAGAGUAACUGCUUGCACCUUGACGGUACCUAACCAGAAAGCCACGGCUAACUACGUGCCA